CCUACGGGGGGCUGCAGUGGGGAAUAUUGCACAAUGGGGGAAACCCUGAUGCAGCAACGCCGCGUGAGCGAAGAAGGCCUUCGGGUCGUAAAGCUCUGUUGUCAGGGAAGAACAAGUACCGGAGUAACUGCCGGUACCUUGACGGUACCUGACGAGAAAGCCACGGCUAACUACGUGCCAGCAGCCGCGGUAAUACGUAGGUGGCAAGCGUUGUCCGGAAUUAUUGGGCGUAAAGCGCGCGCAGGCGGUCCUUUAAGUCUGAUGUGAAAUCUUGCGGCUCAACCGCAAGCGGCCAUUGGAAACUGGGGGACUUGAGUGCAGGAGAGGGAAGUGGAAUUCCACGUGUAGCGGUGAAAUGCGUAGAGAUGUGGAGGAACACCAGUGGCGAAGGCGGCUUCCUGGCCUGUAACUGACGCUGAGGCGCGAAAGCGUGGGGAGCAAACAGGAUUAGAUACCCCAGUAGUC
This 465-nucleotide ribosomal RNA is filed under the name uncultured bacterium. RNAcentral's name for it is "bacterial SSU rRNA". It matches the Rfam family "Bacterial small subunit ribosomal RNA", at positions 338 to 795 of the family's 1533-position model. The record is from RNAcentral.